Molecule: unclassified non-coding RNA, 664 nt
Filed under: Hevea brasiliensis (rubber tree)
Lineage: Eukaryota; Viridiplantae; Streptophyta; Magnoliopsida; Malpighiales; Euphorbiaceae
Source: RNAcentral
GAAACCUGUCACGUAGUUUCGUCUUUCUUGUUGUUGCAUCUUAGUUAAGCUGGAUUUUUUUGGAUUUUCUGUUGUUUCUCAAGUGUACAAGGAAUAAUCUGCAAUUUGUAUUACCUGAGUUAUUUAGAACUGGUGAUUGUUGUGGUUGAAUGGAAAGAGACUUUGUAUCGUGGUUCCGUCGCCAGUAUCCUGAUCUGCAAUCUGCCCAUUCGAACUUUUCUAGUCGUGGACUCAAUAUUGGGCAGCAGAAUUCUGUUCCUAUUUACAUGCCUCCGUAUGCAAAUGAGGUUCCAGUAAAAGGGAGUUCUCCCUUGUCGUUUUCGGGGUUGCUAGAACCAAAGGCAAGCCAACCAACUGAAGCUCACAAUUGGUUCUACUGUUUACCACAGUUGCAACAGGGUUUUGCUCCUGUUUUGAGCACUGUACCGAACGAGAAGUUUGCUCCUCAGUCUGUUGACAAUUACGGGGUAAAUGAAGAAGCCAAUGCUGGCCCCGGAUUCGCGCAGAAAAGAUUUCUUGUUUUUGAUCAAUCUGGUGAUCAAACAACUUUACUUUACAGUUCUCCAAAUGGUACUCCUGUGCAAUGCCUACCCUCUUGGCAUCCAAAAUCCGCUGCACCUUGUCAUCUGAUUAAGGAAGGCCAACAGAUUUUAGGGAACGGAAU